This 597-nucleotide ribosomal RNA is filed under the name unidentified nematode. RNAcentral's name for it is "SSU rRNA". It matches the Rfam family "Eukaryotic small subunit ribosomal RNA", at positions 1024 to 1643 of the family's 1831-position model. The record is from RNAcentral. Lineage: Eukaryota; Metazoa; Nematoda.
UUCUGACCGUAAACGAUACCAUCUAGCGAUUCGAUAGGGUCAUCUAACCUUGUCGAGGAGCUUCCCGGAAACGAAAGUCUUUCGGUUCCGGGGGUAGUAUGGUUGCAAAGCUGAAACUUAAAGAAAUUGACGGAAGGGCACCACCAGGAGUGGAGCUUGCGGCUUAAUUUGACUCAACACGGGAAAACUCACCCGGUCCGGACACCGUAAGGAUUGACAGACUGAUAGCUCUUUCUUGAUUCGGUGGUUGGUGGUGCAUGGCCGUUCUUAGUUGGUGGAGUAAUUUGUCUGGUUUAUUCCGAUAACGAGCGAGACUCUAGCCUGCUAAAUAGAACGCGGAUAAACCUUUUCAUAGGUCCGCGAUGCUUCUUAGAGGAAUUAGCGGUGCUUAGCCGCACGAGAUUGAGCGAUAACAGGUCUGUGAUGCCCUUAGAUGUCCGGGGCUGCACGCGUGCUACACUGGAACAUUCAACGUGCUCUCCAUCGCCGAAAGGUGUUGGCAAACCGUUGAAACUGUUCCGUGACUGGGAUAGGGAAUUGCAAUUAUUUCCCUUGAACGAGGAAUUCCUAGUAAGUGUGAGUCAUCAGCUCGCGCUG